GGACUUUAAAAAGGAAGCAGAAAGGCCAGGAGGACGAGCUUCACUGGAGGUGGGUAAGUUUUGUUUCAGACCUGUAGGGCUGAAAGUGUUGACGAACACCUGGGAGAAAAUGUCCAGUCACCGUCACUGCAAAUGCGGGUCCGACCUUCAGGAGAGGGAUUUGGACUGAAGAUGUGGGUAGGAGCACCCUCUCUUAGACAAGAAAAAUUGAGACUAAGAGGAGAUGAGAUCGCUGGGGGAUCAUAAUUAAGUAAAAACUUGUAUCUCUAAAAUCCGUCCUGACAUUUUCAUUUAUAGGAUAUACAUAUGUAUGUAUCUGUUAUAAUCUGAAAUGUGUCCCUCAAAAUUCAUAUUUGAAGCCCUAACCUCCUCAUACCUCAGACUGGGACUGUAUUUGGAGAUGAGGCCUUUAAAAAGAUAAUUAAGGUAAAACGAAGGCAUUAGAAUGGGCUCUAAUCCAAUAUGUCAGGAGUCCUUAUAGGAAGAGGAGAUGAGGACACAGACACCCACAGAGGGAAGACGGUGUGAGGACACAGGGAGAGGACACCAUCUGCAAGCCCAGGAGGGAGGCCUCAGGAGAAACCAAUCCCGCCCACACCUGGAUGUGGGGCUUCCAGCCCCCAGCACUGCGAGGGAAUAAAGCUCCGUUGUGUAAGCUGCCGCAUCUGUGGUAUUUUAUUAUGGCAGCCCCAGCUACUAAUACAGUACCCCUACCGAUACAUACAUAUUUACCCACAUGUAGCCACACACAUGUGCACAUAUGUAAUCUUUUUGCCUAUAAAAAAGUAAGCAAUGCCUAAAAGUACAGGUGGAGAGAAGGCUAAAAAGCACAGGCUCGAAGAGACUGCCAAGAUACAACGAUCCAACAAAGACACAUCGUAUCAACAGUAAUGAUUUCCUAAAUGUGAAGGUAAUUUGGAUGGCUGGUUUAUAGUUUUCAUGCCCGGGAGUUUUCCAAGGCACAAUGUAUACCCUUUGCGGCAGCUUACUCUCCUGAAAUGUGCCUUCAUGAAAUUAGAUAAACAGGGAGAAGAUAUGAAGUACAUCUGCCUAACACCACGUUAGAAGAAUCCCCGGGCAUUUGCAUCUUAUGCGAUGAUAUGCUGGCAAACCUUGGCCAACUUCCAGUCUUGUCCUUAUGACAGGGGACUGCUGUGUUGAGUUCCCGUCUCAGGCCUCACAUCCACCUUGGCCCUGCCUUGGGAGCCUGUAGGUGUGGGCAGAAAAGAGGGACGCUGCCUUCCUGGCUGGGCCUUUCUUCACACACAGGCACGAGGACCCAAGCUCUAAAGGAUGAAGUCCCCAUGGUCUCCGAAGUUUUCAUUAUCAUCCCCCUCCUAAAGCUCCACCUUGGAGGCAAUGCACUGUAACAAAAGGACCAGCACAGUGCCCAGCACACAGAAAGCUAUCAAUCAAUGUCAGCCUUAACCAUUAUGUUGGUUGACUUGCCAUCCCUCUUCCUCAACUGCAAACUAUGUGAGAGAAAGAUUCAUGUAACCUUGGUAUUACACAACUCCAUCGUGGUGGGUUCAGUUGCAUUUGUCAAAUGAUUCAGAGUAGGACAACGGGAAUUUUCUUUACAACAUCACAGCAUUGUAAAGUCUUUGCUUUGCACGAAAGUGUGGGACUGAAGAAAUGAUUGUGCAGGUUGAAACUGUGAAGCAAUUUUAAGAAGCAACAAGGAAAAUUAUGAUUGUUUCAUAAUCUUCAAAAAAUUUUUAAAGUGUUAAGAACUGUUUUACUACUGGUCGUAAAUGUAUAAGAACAUUUAAAGAUAGCAAAUUGAAUACUUAUUUAGCCUGUCAUAAUUUAAAAAAUGAGAAACAUUGAGAAAUAGUGUUUUAUUUCUUUGUAAAAGACUUAUGGAGAGUAAAUUGAAAAGGGCUUUGCCACCUUCUCAUUGUGAAACUUACAGUAUGGACCAGGCAUCUUUUCUAUGCCUUGGCAAAUUGUCACAUUCCUUUCUAUAUUUGGAUAGGCUUCCUACAUUUUGUCCUGCACACUUUCAGUGCUGUGAAAUAUCUCCAAGAGUUUCUUUAAUAUGAAGUUUUUGCCAGCAUCUUUAUCCUGAGUCCCUCAAAAGACACAUCCAGAAUCUCUCAAAAGACAACAGCAUCAACUUUCCCACCAUCAGCUCUUUCUUCUCUAAACUCGUUUACGUCUGAGUCAACUUUCACCUCCUGCAUUCUCACUUUUUGUUUCUUUGCUAUACUUUCCUCUUCAUUGGCUACCUACCUCUCUUGAGUAUUCAUUUCUGUGAAAUGUCACGUGGGUUUGUCACUGGGAGCCAAGAGAGCAGCACGACCACACGCUUUGCUGUCUGUGUGGGAACUGAUAACACGGAAGGACUGAAGGACGUGAUGCGGUUAAUCACUGAUCAUGAUGCACAUCUGUUAUUACGUGGUGGUCUGUGGACUGCAGAGCAAGCAGCAGAGGUUGUCCCCCAUGCAAUCACUCACAGUUAAUGGUGACUGAAAUUGGAACCAUGUUGUUAGGGGGCUGGUGUUAUUUAACCUCAGUUGCCACAGGGCAAUGAAAAUUCGUGCGUUUGGGAACUAUGCAAGGUGAGGACUGCCUGAAUGUUCCAUAAUGUGAUGAGUGCCUCACAAACAGGGUGUAUAUUAUCACUGAGUUUUUUCAUUAUUCUUGACCUUCAAUAUAUAGACAUUCUUGUUGAUGGUAUCAGGUUGUUUCUGCGUGAAUGAGCUUUACUCCUCUGAGAAAUGGCAUUCCUGACCCUCCUCUUUGAAUCAAUUGCACAAAAGUAUCUGAAGGAAAUUUGCUUACCUGCUGCUUUCUAUGGAAGCUUUCCUGCAGCAUGACCUAGUGUCUGUUUCUGGUUGAUGAUUAACCAUGGGGAACAAGCGUUUGAGAUAAAGAAGUUGCAGAACUUUUUAGAGAAUGUAAUAUGUUAAUGUGCACUGGGACUCUCCCUGAGCUAUAUCAAGUUUCCUGGAUUCUGAAAUGCUAUAAUUUUAAAAGUGUCAUAAGGUUAAAACAGCUUUCUAAGAAGUGCCUUUGUUGGAAGAAUACCCAGGAAUGGUGCGCUGGACAGCUUUUGUACAAGUCUUGCAUUUUCUCAGAACUAUCUCUCAUCUUGGCCAUGGCAUCAGUCACAUCCUGAGUGGCUCACCUUGACUUGGGUUGCCUCCUACUGCAGUUCUCCUAAACUCUGGUGGGGGACACGGGCACAACCCACCCAAUACUCGUAUGUGCUUUACCUGGAAAUAAGGAGCAGAGGAGCUAGGGGAAGGAGCCGAUGGCUAAAUGUUCCUGCCUUUUUUCCCUCAGGCAGACAGUUCUAAGGUGCACGCUGUAGGUUGCUGGGACAACCCUGGCAAGAUCUUCCCCCAGACAUCCACCUUGGCGGCCGACUUAUUAACUCAUUGGUCUAUUGACUUUUGCUCCUUGCCUCGCCCCUGAUCCCUGUGCCCUCUUUCUAAUAAGCUACCUGCUGGUGAGGCUCUGCCUUGGGGGAAACCCAGGCUGAGGCAGGUGGGAUGUUAUAACCAGGGAGGCCUGAGUCCUGGGUCUUUGCCUGGGGUCCCCAAAUAGGAGAGGGAUUGGAGGAGGUAUUGUGGGGGAGAGUGUUGCAAAAGCCCAGAGGAAAGGAGUGCUGUUACCACAACAGAGGAGACAUGAACCUGCACAGACCAAAAACAGGAGAGAGAGAGGGAAAGAGAAAGAGAAGGGGGAGAAAGAAAGGGAGAGACAGAGGAAGGGAGAGAUGGGGAAAGAGGAGAGGAGAAAGGGAGGGAGAGAAAGAAAGGAGAUGGAGAGAGAAAAGGGUGGGGAGAGAGAUAAAGAGAGAGGUAAAGAGAGAGAGAGAAUCAUCUACUACAUGAUUUCUUUUUUUUUUUUUUCUGAGAUGGAGUUUCGCUCUUGUUGCCCAGGCUGGAGUGCAGUGGCGUGAUCUCGGCUCACUGCAACCUCCAUCUCCCGGGUUCAAGCGAUUCUCCUACCUCAGCUUCCUGAGUAGCUGGGAUUACAGGUGCCUGCCACCACGCCCAGCUAAUUUUUGUAUUUUUGGUAGAGACGGGGUUUCACCGUGUUGACCAGGCUGGUCUCGAACUCCUGACCUCAGGUGAUCCGCCCGCCUCGGCCUCCCAAAGUGCUGGGAUUACAGGUGUGAGCCACCGCGCCUGGCCAUGAUUUUUUUUUUAACCUAUAAAAGCCUUGAGUAGUGAUGGACGCGAUUCCUAGUAAUGUGGUUUACUAAAGGGUCAGGCUGUCAGUUCACCACAAAUACGCCACAGUAGUGUUUGGUAUUCUCUCAAUGUUCCACCCACCAGAGCAUACAAAACAGCCACAUUCCCCAAACACUUAAUUCUCAAAACAUACUUGUAGAGGAGGGAAGCCUAUUACUCCCAUUAGAAAGAUGGAAAACCAAGGUGAAAUGAUUAACUGAGCUACCAGGGCCUCAGAAGAAAGUCGCUGCUGAGUUUGGGAUUGUGUUUUCAACUUCCUGCCCACUGUGGGUGAGCUCCACCUUUUACUGGAACCAACUCCAAGGAGGAAGUUUUGCUGGGUUUCCUGGAAGGCAGAGGUUUGCAUCUGCAUGCCCUGCGUGGAGGCAUUGUAUUUGGGGGCAGGCAGGAGAAUACUGUAGCUGGUGUGCCCACAGAAAGGGAGGGAGAGAAGCCACUGGGAGUGAGCUGGGCUUGGGAUCGGGCUGUGUCCUCACCAACUGUCUGCCCAGGCAUGAACUUGCCACUGCUGUGGAAGAGUCUGACUGCAUCCAAGAAUGCCAAAGGUUGUGGCUGAACUCACUUCUCAACAGACUUGGAUCAUGUUCAUAUACUAUUCUUUAAAAGAUCACCAUUUGUAGUAGAAUGUCAAAAACCCAAAGAUGUUGCUCCCGAUGUUGAGCUGUAACUAUUUUCUGUGUUGGUGGAAAAAUAUGAGAGAAUUAGUUGCCAUUCAUGAAUCUCAGUGAUACACAGACAAAAGCAUGCUUCAAUUUUGUUUCUUUGUUUUUGAGUGGUUCUGAUUUAUUUUCAGCUUUUGGGUGAUGUCUGGGGCUGUUUAUUGAGGACGGGAUAAAUGGGGGGGGGACCAAAAUAUAUUUGGCAUUUAUUGGUGGUGUUUUAUAUUUGUGACUUGAUUUACUUCUUAUCACAACCCAGUGAGACACGUACUAUUAUCAUCCUUUUAAUAGAUGAGCAGCCUGGAGCUUAGAGAGGUUAGGUAGCAUGGACAUCAUCAGGCAAGUUAAAUGAGAAAGCCGCCACCCAUUCCCAGCUGGGGCUGACCCCAGCGCCUGUGUUAUUUCUGUUGCCCUGAGCCUCCCCAGGCUUCUUAACCCACAUGUACUCCUAGCUUCCAGCAGUGCUAAUUUACACCGUGUACCAGCUGGAGACAUUCUGGAGUGUAGACUGACGCAAUAAUCCCCAAUGAUAGGUUUGCCAUGUUUUUUUUAAAUGUGUUUUUUCCUACUUUUUAUUAUAGAUGUCAGAAUUUUCUCCUUCCCUGAGUUAUCUUUGGACUUAGAUGUAUAUAAAUGUAUCUGGUUGGAGGUGGGGGGAAAAGUGGAAGUGGAAGACCACAAAAGUAAAAAUUACAUUUGAGUGUAUUUCACCGAUUCUAAGAGGAAUGCUUUCUUCUGCUCCAACCACUCUGAAAUCUCCGGGUCCCAUACUCCCAUCGCAGCUGUGUGACAUGGUUGCCGUGGCCUUUGUGUGAACAUCAAAGCUCAGAGGAUGGGUGUCAGAGGCUUAGAUGAAAAUCCUGAAGACAAUUGUCUGGCACUUUUCAAAGCUAUACGGCCUCACCAAAACCCUCCUGGAAGCUCUUGAUGGCUCGAGGUUCAACAGUGUCUGGGAAGACAUGGAUAUAAAAGAUCCAGAAUCAAAGAGUGAUUCCAAAGAGUUAGAGGCUGACUGUGAAGUCUUAGGCAUACUGUAACCCAGUGAUUUACCUAUCUUUGCUUUUCUGCUCAUGCAGAAGAGUGAUAUAUGAUGAAUAAAUUCUAAGUUCAAUUAGGCCUAAAAGAGCUCUUGUAAUAUGCUUUAAAAAGUCUAAGUGAUAAAACAUUGUGACAGAUAGAGUUCUGUCAGUGUUUAUAUUUUCUUAGUCCUUCAUUAAAUAACAGUGUGUCUUACACCAAGGCAGUUUUGGAUUCCAUAAAAUAUGGUAGUAGUUAUGUUUCAUGUUUCAAUAGUCAUCAAUCUGUUUUUAAUGUAUUCAUGGAAAAAUAUGUGGGCCAUCUUGCUAUUUAACUAUUUUUGAAAUCUCAUGGAAGCCUGCCAAUGUUUUUGCAAUUUAGCUAAGAAGCUGUCUUGCUUUUUGAGAGGGGAAGUUCCAAUAUUGUAAGCCUAGGUUUCUGAAUAUAUUUUUGUUUUUUAAUAAAUGUAGAAAGAAUGUUUUUUGUUAAUCCUGGCAUUUGUCUAGAGCAAAAGCAAAAUAAAUGAAAAGUGAGGAAAAUUAAAAGGCUCACGUUAUAACAUGUGCUGUCUAGAGAAUAAAAACUCAUUUGUGCAAAGUUGGUAUGGCUUUUAUGAAAAUAUUUCAGUCCGAGCACCUUGCCUGUUUGCUGCAGUGCUGACUGACUCAUGAUUAGGGAUCUGUGUUGCCUUUAUUGCUCUCGGUUUGCCCUAUGGCUUGAUUUAUUAAUAUAUUUAAAUAUACAAUUUUAACCUUA
This 6640-nucleotide long non-coding RNA is filed under the name Homo sapiens (human). Its description in RNAcentral is "novel transcript". Lineage: Eukaryota; Metazoa; Chordata; Mammalia; Primates; Hominidae. The record is from RNAcentral.